ACAGUGUCAGGUGGGCAGUUUGACUGGGGCGGUCGCCUCCUAAAGUGUAACGGAGGCGCCCAAAGGUUCCCUCAGAAUGGUUGGAAAUCAUUCGUAGAGUGCAAAGGCAUAAGGGAGCUUGACUGCGAGACCUACAAGUCGAGCAGGGACGAAAGUCGGGCUUAGUGAUCCGGUGGUUCCGCAUGGAAGGGCCAUCGCUCAACGGAUAAAAGCUACCCCGGGGAUAACAGGCUUAUCUCCCCCAAGAGUCCACAUCGACGGGGAGGUUUGGCACCUCGAUGUCGGCUCAUCGCAUCCUGGGGCUGUAGUCGGUCCCAAGGGUUGGGCUGUUCGCCCAUUAAAGCGGUACGCGAGCUGGGUUCAGAACGUCGUGAGACAGUUCGGUCCCUAUCCGUCGUGGGCGUAGGAAAUUUGAGAGGAGCUGUCCUUAGUACGAGAGGACCGGGAUGGACGCACCGCUGGUGUACCAGUUGUUCUGCCAAGGGCAUAGCUGGGUAGCUAUGUGCGGAAGGGAUAAGUGCUGAAAGCAUCUAAGCAUGAAGCCCCCCUCAAGAUGAGAUUUCCCAUAGCGUAAGCUAGUAAGAUCCCUGAAAGAUGAUCAGGUUGAUAGGUUCGAGGUGGAAGCAUGGUGACAUGUGGAGCUGACGAAUACUAAUAGAUCGAGGACUUAACCAUAUAA
RNAcentral lists this ribosomal RNA (679 nucleotides) under Bacillus thuringiensis. Its description in RNAcentral is "partial 23S ribosomal RNA". It matches the Rfam family "Bacterial large subunit ribosomal RNA", at positions 2251 to 2925 of the family's 2925-position model. Lineage: Bacteria; Bacillati; Bacillota; Bacilli; Caryophanales; Bacillaceae. The record is from RNAcentral.